Molecule: ribosomal RNA, 429 nt
Filed under: uncultured bacterium
Lineage: Bacteria
Description: bacterial SSU rRNA
Rfam family: Bacterial small subunit ribosomal RNA
Source: RNAcentral
UGGGGAAUUUUUCGCAAUGGGCGCAAGCCUGACGAAGCAACGCCGCGUGGAGGAUGAAGGCCUUCGGGUCGUAAACUCCUGUCGACCGGGACGAAAGCAGUCUGGGAUAACACCCCGGGCUGUUGACUGUACCGGUGGAGGAAGCCACGGCUAACUCUGUGCCAGCAGCCGCGGUAAUACAGAGGUGGCAAGCGUUGUUCGGAAUUACUGGGCGUAAAGGGCGCGUAGGCGGUCCGAUAAGUCCCGUGUGAAAGCCCCCGGCUCAACUGGGGAACUGCACGGGAAACUGACGGACUUGAGUUCGGGAGAGGGAAGCGGAAUUCCGGGUGUAGCGGUGAAAUGCGUAGAUAUCCGGAGGAACACCGGUGGUGAAGGCGGCUUCCUGGACCGACACUGACGCUGAUGCGCGAAAGCUAGGGGAGCAAACGG